Molecule: long non-coding RNA, 2485 nt
Filed under: Zea mays
Lineage: Eukaryota; Viridiplantae; Streptophyta; Magnoliopsida; Poales; Poaceae
Description: long non-coding RNA (ZMAY_LNC004448)
Source: RNAcentral
CGCAAAAGGCCUUCAUCAUCCUGGACAACAUUAUCGUUCAGAUCCUCCACACGUUGCUUGGACCGGAGGCGACGUCGACGUCAUCAUCAGUAUGUGUCUGCUUGGCUCCAAUCUUCUAUCUUCUCGUCCUCGUGUGGAUUCCUUUAGCUUGGCUUGUGGUUUUUAGUGCUAGGCUUCUUGAUUGCAUGCCCUGAUAUAUAAGUUCGGUGGGGCAUUUGCUUGUAUUUCCUCCUAUUGCGGUUCAUAAGCCAUCAUAAGUUUAAGGUUGUUUUGCGCUCAUUUAGCUUUUGUAAUGCUAACAAGAUGCACCCGCAGGUUAGGAUCCGUGCAAUAAAUCAAUCUGGACACAUGUGUUGAUUGGGAUCUAAUAUAGCACGAGAAAGGGCAAUACAGAUUCAAUCUAUUCUAACUUAUCUAUAUGGUCAAAACCUUUUUUAGUUUAUUUAUCUUUUAUUUAUCUAUCUAAACUGAAGCUAUCUCCUAAUGACCAACUAAUGGCUAACUCUGAAUGGCCUGUCGUUGCUCUGAACUUCUCUGAUGAAAUUGAACUCUAGAUUUUGUUUAAACAUACACCACACUUUAGCCACUUUGCUGAGUUGCAUCUGGCACAACCUUGCAAUCUUUUCUAAUGUUAUUACUUUUUACUAAUGUUAUUACUUUAUAAAUAAAUAAAUAUAUAUAUAUAUAUAUAUAUAUAUAUAUAUAUAUAUAUAUAUAUAUAUAUAUAUAUAUAUAUAUAUAUAUAUAUAUAUAUACGAAGGGUAGAUGUGUUGUUAGAUGUAGAAGGACAUUGCAUUGUGCAACAUGGUUGUCUACAUGAUCCUUAAAAUUUCAAGAGUUCCAGAGUGUUAUGAAAAAAAUGAGGUGGUGCUGAGCUGAUUAUUGCAUAGUGCAAAUUCAAAGAUAUAUCACUGAUGGGCACUGAUGAGGAAAAUCAAAGUUGUUGCUUUGCUUGCUUUUAAAGUGGUGAUGGAAGAUAACUACUUUUGCUUAUGAGGUGGUGACCAGCUGAGUAUUUAGUACUUGGACAAUGUAAAUUCAAAGAUAUAUCAUUGAUAGGCAAUGAUGAGAAAAUCAAAGAUGCUUUGUUUCUCCACAUGAGCAUUGUGAUCCAGUUUAUUGCACUCUUUAUUCAUUCUGAUGAUUACUUCCUCAUCAGAUGUCCUUGGCCUAUUUUCACAUUUGCUUUUAUUAUUUUCUAGAUGCUGAGUAGUCGUUUCCUUCUCUUUGCUGCUUUGCUAACAUCCUUGGGAUUAUCCAUGUUUCUUUCAGUCACUAUGAUUUAUCACUAGGUCAUUGUGUUUGUGGACAACGAGUAUUGUUCUAACAGUUAUGUUCCCUUAGCUAGCUGGAUUCAUUGUUGUGUUUUGUUCAGGGUACUUUCACCACUUCUGGUAUGGUUCUGUCUUUAAUGUGCCAUGGAUUAUUAUAUUGUUUUUGGUUUGGAUUUGGAAUGGUUUUGUCUUUAAUGUGCCAUGAAUUAGGUAUGAUGCCUGAAGUACUUCUGUUCUGAAGUUUCUUUAUGUGUUUUUUCCUGUUUGUCUAAGCAAAUUCAAAGAUAUAUCACUGAUGGGCACUGAUGAGGAAAAUCAAAGAGUUCCAUUUUGGUAGUAUUGUCUUUUUGGUUGGAUUGGUGUCAUUUUCUUUGUUUUAAGUUUCCGUCAAUUAGCGGUUCCAGUGAAAUAUGUGAUUGGCUUAAGGAAGACUGGUUUUAGCUUCAAGCCAACUAACAUGUUAUUCUCGAUUAAUGGGUGGCUUGUGGCUAAAACUAAUUUUGAGAACCAUCCGUGAUGGCCAAUAAUAGCUAUGAGAUCCAAGGGACUUGUAUGAUCACUUUUUUUAGUUACUUCUCUGAACCAAUUCCAUUAUUUUGUUUUUGUUUGUGUUUUCUGUUUGAUCAGGCUCUGCCCCAUUGAAGAAAAUAUUCUUUGACUAUAGAUAAAUGAUUGAUUAGUUUUAGCUUCAAGCCUUUGUUGUCUCUACUCUUUGGCAUAUAGGCUUGUGGUUAAAACCAGUCCACUCUAAGUUCAUUGAUGAUGGGUAAUAGCUAUGAGAUCUGAGGGACAAGGUUAUCUAUGUCUUUUUGAUGUCCUAAAUGUACUUGUGUCUUCGACCAUUUGUCCUCAUAUUUUCUAUUGGCGGCUGCAGAUCAUGAAGGCAGAACAUCAGAUAUUGAAGUGCAACCAAGAUUUUUAGUGCUAGGGGCAAUUGAUGACUCGACACCUGUGGAAAAACUUUGAGGUAAAGUAUGUCGGCGAACAAAAGUGGAAGCACCUUGAGGUCUACCUGAAUUCAUUUCUUCUUUAUCCUUUUGCAUAUGUGCUAAAGCAUUCAAUGCAGUAUUCCUGGAAUUAACUACAUGUGCAUAACUACCCGAAGAAUCAGAAACAUAUAAAACUCCAAGAUCAUGCUCUUCUGGCAAGCCUCCAGUAGUUGUUGAGGAUGAUGAAGCUUAUGGGAUACUCUUCUGCAUGUAUGGAUGCCC